This 402-nucleotide ribosomal RNA is filed under the name uncultured bacterium. Its description in RNAcentral is "bacterial SSU rRNA". It matches the Rfam family "Bacterial small subunit ribosomal RNA", at positions 29 to 417 of the family's 1533-position model. The record is from RNAcentral.
AAUCAACGCUGGCGGCGUGCCUAACACAUGCAAGUCGAACGCGAAGACCCCGCAAGGGGUUUGUAGCGUGGCAAACGGGUGAGUAACACGUGGGUGACCUGCCUUCGAGCGGGGGAGUAACGUUCCGAAAGGGACGCUAAUACCGCAUGACAUCCUGCCUUUGAAGAGGCGGAGAUCAAAGCCGGGGAUCGCAAGACCUGGCACUUGAAGAGGGGCCCGCGCCUGAUUAGCUAGUUGGGAGGUAACGGCUCACCAAGGCAACGAUCAGCAUCCGGCCUGAGAGGGCGGACGGACACACUGGGACUGAGACACGGCCCAGACUCCUACGGGAGGCAGCAGUGGGGAAUUGUUCGCAAUGGGCGCAAGCCUGACGACGCAACGCCGCGUGGAGGAUGAAGACCC